RNAcentral lists this ribosomal RNA (467 nucleotides) under uncultured bacterium. Its description in RNAcentral is "bacterial SSU rRNA". It matches the Rfam family "Bacterial small subunit ribosomal RNA", at positions 328 to 792 of the family's 1533-position model. The record is from RNAcentral.
CAGCCAGACUCCUACGGGAGGCAGCAGUGAGGAAUAUUGGUCAAUGGGCGCGAGCCUGAACCAGCCAAGUCGCGUGAGGGAAGACGGUCCUAUGGAUUGUAAACCUCUUUUGUCGGGGAGCAAAGAGGCCACGUGUGGUCAAAAGCGAGAGUACCCGAAGAAAAAGCAUCGGCUAACUCCGUGCCAGCAGCCGCGGUAAUACGGAGGAUGCGAGCGUUAUUCGGAUUUAUUGGGUUUAAAGGGCGCGCAGGCGGAAUGUCAAGUCAGCGGUAAAAUUUCGGGGCUCAACCCCGUCGUGCCGUUGAAACUGGCGUUCUUGAGUGAGCGAGAAGUAUGCGGAAUGCGUGGUGUAGCGGUGAAAUGCAUAGAUAUCACGCAGAACUCCGAUUGCGAAGGCAGCAUACCGGCGCUCAACUGACGCUCAUGCACGAAAGCGUGGGUAUCGAACAGGAUUAGAUACCCUUGUA